This 1339-nucleotide ribosomal RNA is filed under the name uncultured bacterium. Its description in RNAcentral is "bacterial SSU rRNA". It matches the Rfam family "Bacterial small subunit ribosomal RNA", at positions 28 to 1381 of the family's 1533-position model. The record is from RNAcentral.
GAUGAACGCUGGCGGCGUGCUUAACACAUGCAAGUCGAACGGAAAGGCCGAAGCUUGCUUCGGUACUCGAGUGGCGGACGGGUGAGUAACACGUGGGUGAUCUGCCCUGCACUUUGGGAUAAGCCUGGGAAACUGGGUCUAAUACCAGAUAGGACCACGUCUUGGAUGGUGUGGUGGAAAGUUUUUUCGGUGUGGGAUGAGCUCGCGGCCUAUCAGCUUGUUGGUGGGGUAAUGGCCUACCAAGGCGUCGACGGGUAGCCGGCCUGAGAGGGUGUACGGCCACAUUGGGACUGAGAUACGGCCCAGACUCCUACGGGAGGCAGCAGUGGGGAAUAUUGCACAAUGGGCGCAAGCCUGAUGCAGCGACGCCGCGGGGGGGAUGACGGCCUUCGGGUUGUAAACUCCUUUCGCCAGGGACGAAGCGUAAGUGACGGUACCUGGAUAAGAAGCACCGGCUAACUACGUGCCAGCAGCCGCGGUAAUACGUAGGGUGCGAGCGUUGUCCGGAAUUACUGGGCGUAAAGAGCUCGUAGGUGGUUUGUCGCGUCGUUUGUGUAAUACCGCAGCUUAACUGCGGGGUUGCAGGCGAUACGGGCAUAACUUGAGUGCUGUAGGGGAGACUGGAAUUCCUGGUGUAGCGGUGGAAUGCGCAGAUAUCAGGAGGAACACCGAUGGCGAAGGCAGGUCUCUGGGCAGUAACUGACGCUGAGGAGCGAAAGCAUGGGUAGCGAACAGGAUUAGAUACCCUGGUAGUCCAUGCCGUAAACGGUGGGCGCUAGGUGUGAGUCCCUUCCACGGGGUUCGUGCCGUAGCUAACGCAUUAAGCGCCCCGCCUGGGGAGUACGGCCGCAAGGCUAAAACUCAAAGGAAUUGACGGGGGCCCGCACAAGCGGCGGAGCAUGUGGAUUAAUUCGAUGCAACGCGAAGAACCUUACCUGGGCUUGACAUGCACCGGAUCGCUGCAGAGAUGUAGUUUCCCUUGUGGCUGGUGUACAGGUGGUGCAUGGUUGUCGUCAGCUCGUGUCGUGAGAUGUUGGGUUAAGUCCCGCAACGAGCGCAACCCUUGUCUUAUGUUGCCAGCAUUUGGUUGGGGACUCAUGAGAGACUGCCGGGGUUAACUCGGAGGAAGGUGGGGAUGACGUCAAAUCAUCAUGCCCCUUAUGUCCAGGGCUUCACACAUGCUACAAUGGUCGGUACAACGCGCAGCUACUUCGUGAGGAGGCGCUAAUCGCCGAAAGCCGGCCUUAGUUCGGAUUGGGGUCUGCAACUCGACCCCAUGAAGUCGGAGUCGCUAGUAAUCGUAGAUCAGCAACGCUGCGGUGAAUACGUUCCCGGGCCU